UGAGGCAGGAGAAUUGCUUGAACCCAGGAGGUGGAGGCUGCCGUGAGCCAAGAUCGAGCCACUGUACUCCAGCCUGGGCAACAGAGUGAGACUCCGUCU
RNAcentral lists this microRNA precursor (99 nucleotides) under Cercocebus atys (sooty mangabey). RNAcentral describes it as "miRNA (ENSCATG00000018990.1)". The record is from RNAcentral. Lineage: Eukaryota; Metazoa; Chordata; Mammalia; Primates; Cercopithecidae.